UGAGGAAUAUUGCGCAAUGGGGGAAACCCUGACGCAGCCAUGCCGCGUGAGUGAAGAAGGCCUUCGGGUUGUAAAGCUCUUUCAGUCGUGAAGAUAAUGACGGUAGCGACAGAAGAAGCCCCGGCUAAAUUCGUGCCAGCAGCCGCGGUAAUACGAAUGGGGCAAGCGUUGUUCGGAAUCACUGGGCUUAAAGCGUGCGCAGGCGGAUAUGAAAGUCAGGAGUGAAAUCCCAGAGCUCAACUCUGGAAUU
RNAcentral lists this ribosomal RNA (250 nucleotides) under uncultured bacterium. RNAcentral describes it as "partial 16S ribosomal RNA". It matches the Rfam family "Bacterial small subunit ribosomal RNA", at positions 355 to 622 of the family's 1533-position model. The record is from RNAcentral.